GUGCGUGUGUAGAGUCCAGUGUGUGUGUAGAGUCCAGUGUGUGUGGAGUCCAGUGUGUGAGUACAGUCCAGUGUGUGUAUAGUCCAGUGUGUGAGUAGAGUCCAGUGCAUGUGUAGAGUCCAGUGCGUGUGUAGAGUCCAGUGCGUGUGUAGAGUCCAGUGUGUGUGUAGAGUCCAGUGUGUGUGUAGAGUCCAGUGUGUGUGUGUGUGUGUGUGUGUGUGUGUGUGUGUGUGUGUGUGUGUGUGUGUGUGUGUGUGUGUGUGUGUGUGUGUGUGUGUGUGUGUGUGUGU
Oncorhynchus keta (chum salmon) is the source of this 290-nucleotide long non-coding RNA. RefSeq lists it as uncharacterized. Lineage: Eukaryota; Metazoa; Chordata; Actinopteri; Salmoniformes; Salmonidae. The record is from RefSeq and is a predicted model, not a curated record. The transcript is spliced from 2 exons.